This 770-nucleotide ribosomal RNA is filed under the name uncultured bacterium. Its description in RNAcentral is "bacterial SSU rRNA". It matches the Rfam family "Bacterial small subunit ribosomal RNA", at positions 1 to 760 of the family's 1533-position model. The record is from RNAcentral.
ACGCCCGAUCCCCUUGAGUUUGAUCAUGGCUCAGGAUGAACGCUAGCGGCAGGCUUAAUACAUGCAAGUCGAGGGGUAACAUGGUAGCAAUACUGAUGACGACCGGCAAACGGGUGCGGAACACGUACAGAACCUUCCUUUAAGCGGGGGAUAGCCCAUAGAAAUGUGGAUUAAUACCCCAUAGUAAUGUUUAAUGGCAUCAUUAGAUAUUUAAAGAUUUAUCACUUAAAGAUGGCUGUGCGGCUGAUUAGGUAGUUGGUGUGGGUAACGGCCCACCAAGCCAUCGAUCAGUAACUGGUGUGAGAGCACGACCAGUCACACGGGCACUGAGACACGGGCCCGACUCCUACGGGAGGCAGCAGUAAGGAAUAUUGGUCAAUGGACGCAAGUCUGAACCAGCCAUGCCGCGUGAAGGAUGAAGGCCCUCUGGGUUGUAAACUUCUUUUAUCUGGGAAGAAAUGCUUGUUUUUUAACGAGUUUGACGGUACCAGAGGAAUAAGCACCGGCUAACUCCGUGCCAGCAGCCGCGGUAAUACGGAGGGUGCAAGCGUUAUCCGGAUUCACUGGGUUUAAAGGGUGCGUAGGUGGGAAUGUAAGUCAGUGGUGAAAUCUCCGUGCUUAACAUGGAAACUGCCAUUGAUACUAUGUUUCUUGAAUUUUCUGGAGGUCAGCGGAAUAUGUCAUGUAGCGGUGAAAUGCUUAGAUAUGACAUAGAACACCAAUUGCGAAGGCAGCUGACUACAGGGAUAUUGACACUGANGCACGAAAGC